AAAAAGGUAAGCUAAUUUAAGCUAAUGGGUUCAUAUCCCAUCUAUAGAGGCAUCAAUCCUCUCCUUUUUA
This 70-nucleotide transfer RNA is filed under the name Euchorthippus unicolor. RNAcentral describes it as "tRNA-Met". The record is from RNAcentral. RNAcentral also lists the same sequence under 2 other names. Lineage: Eukaryota; Metazoa; Arthropoda; Insecta; Orthoptera; Acrididae.